Molecule: ribosomal RNA, 303 nt
Filed under: Triticum aestivum (bread wheat)
Lineage: Eukaryota; Viridiplantae; Streptophyta; Magnoliopsida; Poales; Poaceae
Description: partial small subunit ribosomal RNA
Source: RNAcentral
AUGACUUUAUUUGAUGUUAAUCCCACUAUCUUGGAAGAUUAUAAAACUUUUAUGCAUGUGGAUUAUGAAGAGAAAAUUUUAUAUGAUAGCUAUAUUGUUGAAUUUGAUUAUGAUACUACAUGUAAUCAUUAUGAGAGAGGAAAAUAUGGUUGUAGAAAUUUCCAUGUUACUAAUUUACCUCUCGUUAUGUUGAGAUUGCUAUUGUUUCUUUCUUCUUCCGUGCUUAUGCUAUAUAUUUCUUGUCUUGAUAAUUUGUUUUCUUAUAAAAUCCCUAUGCAUCAGAAGUAUGUUGGACUUAAAUGA